Long non-coding RNA from Anolis carolinensis (green anole), 1728 nucleotides. RefSeq lists it as uncharacterized. The transcript is spliced from 2 exons. The record is from RefSeq and is a predicted model, not a curated record. Lineage: Eukaryota; Metazoa; Chordata; Lepidosauria; Squamata; Anolidae.
CAUUGCUAAAUUGACUUGCCAAUCUUCAUGCUACUUCCGACACUACAUAAGAGAUAGCAGCCAGAUAAGGAGGUGAAGGAGGCUAUUCAGGUGCUAUUUGGGGCUCAAGAAGGAUGACAUUUCUCCCCUCUGCCAUUAAGAGAGCAAGGCUGUGACAAGGACCCUGUAUCUAAUUGUAGUCUCAUUUAAUGGUGUGUGUAUAUAUGUAUGUGGAAACAUCCUCCAUGCACCCAAAUGGGAAGCUGAAUGAAUUUUUUUACCCAAUGUAAUUAUUGGCUCUUAAGGUGUCCUAGGAAUACACACACACACACACACACAUAUAUACAUAUAUAUACACACACAUAUACAUAAUGUUUCCAGGACCUUCUCACAUAAUAUCUCAUCUUUGAUGUACUUUGCAUAUUGAUUUCUAUGAGGGGCCAUCACACGAUGAAUGGUUUGAUUCAUGUGUAACCUGUAGGAACUUGUAGGAAAAGGAUCUGCAAACAAUAUUUUUGUAAGAUGGGUGGGAAUUGACUCCACUCAUCUUUAAUUUCUCCAUGUGUAUCAAAACCACAGUAUUCAAUAUGUGAUGGUAGUUUGUUGGCAUUUCACCAUCUAUUAAUAGAUUGUGAGUUUCCCAUUGAAAGAAACAUAUUAACAGAACAUGGUGUUUCCAUGGCCUGAAGUAGUUUAGCAGAUUGUGGGUUCCCAUUGAAAGAAAUUGAUUAAAGACCAUACAUUUCUCUACAUUUACUCUCUUUUGUUUAACCUACAUUUAUUUUUAAAGGUGUGUGUGUGUGUGUGUAUACAUAUAUAUAUAAUCUCAAUUUCUCCAUGAUUGUAGGGUUUUAAAAAUAGUGAAGAUGGACCUGGCUGGGAAUAGUGAAGAUGGACAUGGCUGGGAUGGAGGGUCACUUCGGCAAAUACCUACCUAGAUGCUUUCAAACCACAAGCUCAAGUAAAUUAAGGUCUUCUGAAAAUCCUGGUGAAAUGUGGCUAUUUUGGAGAAUCUGCUUCUCACAGUCAGCUCCCCCAUUUUUACUGGAAGAAGUUGCUAUUUUUCUUGCAAGUUAAUAACACCAUCCUCUCAUAUCUAAGUAGACAUGUAACUAAGUAGACUCAGGACCUCAUCAGAUGGGGUGAAUUUAGUGAAUCUAGAAUGCUUUCACCUCUUCUAGAGAAUGGAGCCCCACACUUCAACUUCAACUGUGGUGAAAGCUUCACUGGGUGCUUUCCUCUGAAUACAGGAGACUUCCUAUGUUGUCCUGGCUUCAAUGGAGACAGCAUGGGGUCUGAUGUGAUGGGGAAAGCAUUGCCGAGAAGGAGUUGUGCAUGUGGUGACAGAUUUACCCACUGCCCUUCUCUUUCCUCCCAGAUGUCCCAAGAAGCAGGACACUUUGGCCCUAAGUAAAUCUCAUUUCCAGACAGAUGUCUGAUUUUGAAGCUUUGGGCUUUCCUGACAAUUCUGUAUUAUUCGAAACCUUAUGUUAAAGUUUUGCACUUAUCCUAUUCCCUUGUCCUAUUGUUUAAAGCCUGACCACAUUUACAGUAGCUUACAGCCAUUGGUUGAUUAGCGCUAUUUUAAUUGAGUUUUAUAUGUCUAAAUGUUUUAUCCAGUUGUAUUUUAUAUUGUGUUUUAUUUUGUGUUCUAUUUCUCAGCACCUUGUGCUGUGUGUAAGCCGCCCCAGGUCCUUUCGGGGAGAUAGUGGCUGGAUAUAAAAAUAAAGAUGAUGAUGAUGAUGAUGA